This 496-nucleotide ribosomal RNA is filed under the name uncultured bacterium. RNAcentral describes it as "partial 16S ribosomal RNA". It matches the Rfam family "Bacterial small subunit ribosomal RNA", at positions 28 to 506 of the family's 1533-position model. The record is from RNAcentral.
GAUGAACGCUGGCGGCGUGCCUAAUACAUGCAGGUCGAGCGAACAGAUGAGGAGCUUGCUCCUCUGACGUUAGCGGCGGACGGGUGAGUAACACGUGGAUAACCUACCUAUAAGACUGGGAUAACUUCGGGAAACCGGAGCUAAUACCGGAUAAUAUAUUGAACCGCAUGGUUCAAUAGUGAAAGACGGUUUUGCUGUCACUUAUAGAUGGAUCCGCGCCGCAUUAGCUAGUUGGUAAGGUAACGGCUUACCAAGGCAACGAUGCGUAGCCGACCUGAGAGGGUGAUCGGCCACACUGGAACUGAGACACGGUCCAGAAUCCUACGGGAGGCAGCAGUAGGGAAUCUUCCGCAAUGGGCGAAAGCCUGACGGAGCAACGCCGCGUGAGUGAUGAAGGUCUUCGGAUCGUAAAACUCUGUUAUUAGGGAAGAACAAAUGUGUAAGUAACUAUGCACGUCUUGACGGUACCUAAUCAGAAAGCCACGGCUAACUACGU